This 301-nucleotide ribosomal RNA is filed under the name uncultured bacterium. RNAcentral describes it as "partial 16S ribosomal RNA". It matches the Rfam family "Bacterial small subunit ribosomal RNA", at positions 509 to 807 of the family's 1533-position model. The record is from RNAcentral.
CAGUCGCCGCGGGAAUACGAAGGGGGCUAGCGUUGCUCGGAAUGACUGGGCGUAAAGGGCGCGUAGGCGGAUGGCACAGUCAGAUGUGAAAUUCCCGGGCUUAACCUGGGGGCUGCAUUUGAUACGUGUUGUCUAGAGUGAGGAAGAGGGUCGUGGAAUUCCCAGUGUAGAGGUGAAAUUCGUAGAUAUUGGGAAGAACACCGGUGGCGAAGGCGGCGACCUGGUCCUUUACUGACGCUGAGGCGCGAAAGCGUGGGGAGCAAACAGGAUUAGAUACCCCAGUAGUCCCUGUCUCUUAUAC